RNAcentral lists this ribosomal RNA (255 nucleotides) under uncultured bacterium. RNAcentral describes it as "partial 16S ribosomal RNA". It matches the Rfam family "Bacterial small subunit ribosomal RNA", at positions 524 to 776 of the family's 1533-position model. The record is from RNAcentral.
UACGUAGGCAGCGAGCGUUGUUCGGAAUUACUGGGCGUAAAGAGUGUGUAGGCGGUGCUCUAAGUUCGGUGUGAAAUCUCCUGGCUCAACUGGGAGGGUGCGCCGGAAACUGGAGUGCUUGAGCGUGGGAGAGGAAAGCGGAAUUCCUGGUGUAGCGGUGGAAAUGCGCAGAUAUCAGGAGGAACACCGGUGGCGAAGGCGGGUCUCUGGGCCGAUACUGACGCUGAGGAGCGAAAGCGUGGGGGAGCGAACAGG